GGGCCCGCACAAGCGGUGGAGCAUGUGGUUUAAUUCGAUGAUACGCGAGGAACCUUACCAGGGCUUAAAUGCAGUCUGACGUAUCUGGAAACAGAUAUUUCUUCGGACAAAUCACAAGGUGCUGCAUGGUUGUCGUCAGCUCGUGCCGUGAGGUGUCAGGUUAAGUCCUAUAACGAGCGCAACCCCUGUUGUUAGUUGCCAGCGAGUAAUGUCGGGAACUCUAGCAAGACUGCCGGUGCAAACCGUGAGGAAGGUGGGGAUGACGUCAAAUCAUCACGGCCCUUACGUCCUGGGCCACACACGUGCUACAAUGGUAGGGACAGAGGGCAGCUACCCCGCGAGGGGAUGCGAAUCUUCAAACCCUAUCACAGUUCGGAUCGCAGUCUGCAACUCGACUGCGUGAAGCUGGAAUCGCUAGUAAUCG
RNAcentral lists this ribosomal RNA (424 nucleotides) under uncultured bacterium. RNAcentral describes it as "bacterial SSU rRNA". It matches the Rfam family "Bacterial small subunit ribosomal RNA", at positions 917 to 1344 of the family's 1533-position model. The record is from RNAcentral.